Molecule: transfer RNA, 73 nt
Filed under: Merluccius polli (Benguela hake)
Lineage: Eukaryota; Metazoa; Chordata; Actinopteri; Gadiformes; Merlucciidae
Rfam family: tRNA
About the family: Transfer RNA (tRNA) molecules are approximately 80 nucleotides in length. Their secondary structure includes four short double-helical elements and three loops (D, anti-codon, and T loops).
Source: Rfam by way of RNAcentral
GCCGAAAUAGCUCAGUUGGGAGGGCGUUAGACUGAAGAUCUAAAGGUCUUUGGUUCGAUCCCGGGUUUCGGCA